RNAcentral lists this ribosomal RNA (497 nucleotides) under uncultured bacterium. Its description in RNAcentral is "partial 16S ribosomal RNA". It matches the Rfam family "Bacterial small subunit ribosomal RNA", at positions 28 to 507 of the family's 1533-position model. The record is from RNAcentral.
GACGAACGCUGGCGGCGUGCCUAAUACAUGCGAGUAGAACGCUGAAGAGAGGAGCUUGCUCUUCUUGGAUGAGUUGCGAACGGGUGAGUAACGCGUAGGUAACCUGCCUGGUAGCGGGGGAUAACUAUUGGAAACGAUAGCUAAUACCGCAUAAAAUGGAUUAUCGCAUGAUAAUCCAUUGAAAGGUGCAAAUGCAUCACUACCAGAUGGACCUGCGUUGUAUUAGCUAGUUGGUGGGGUAACGGCUCACCAAGGCGACGAUACAUAGCCGACCUGAGAGGGUGAUCGGCCACACUGGGACUGAGACACGGCCCAGACUCCUACGGGAGGCAGCAGUAGGGAAUCUUCGGCAAUGGACGGAAGUCUGACCGAGCAACGCCGCGUGAGUGAAGAAGGGUUUCGGAUCGUAAAGCUCUGUUGUAAGAGAAGAACGAGUGUGAGAGUGGAAAGUUCACACUGUGACGGUAUCUUACCAGAAAGGGACGGCUAACUACGUG